This 73-nucleotide transfer RNA is filed under the name Planctomycetota bacterium. RNAcentral's name for it is "Planctomycetes bacterium tRNA-Arg". It matches the Rfam family "tRNA". Rfam says of the family: Transfer RNA (tRNA) molecules are approximately 80 nucleotides in length. Their secondary structure includes four short double-helical elements and three loops (D, anti-codon, and T loops). RNAcentral also lists the same sequence under 1 other name. The record is from RNAcentral. Lineage: Bacteria; Pseudomonadati; Planctomycetota.
GCGCCUGUAGCUCAGGGGAUAGAGCAAUGCUUUCCUAAAGCAUGGGUCGCAGGUUCGAAUCCUGCCAGGCGUA